AGUGGCGGCAUGCCUUACCAUGCAGUCGAACGGUAGAAGUAGCAAUACUUUGAGAGUGGCGAACGGGUGAGUAAUACAUCGGAACAUGCCCAACUGUGGGGGAUAACGUAGCGAAAGUUACGCUAAUACCGCAUACGAUCUACGGAUGAAAGCGGGGGACCGUAAGGCCUCGCGCAGUUGGAGUGGCUGAUGUCAGAUUAGCUAGUUGGUAGGGUAAAAGCCUACCAAGGCAACGAUCUGUAGCUGGUCUGAGAGGACGACCAGCCACACUGGGACUGAGACACGGCCCAGACUCCUACGGGAGGCAGCAGUGGGGAAUUUUGGACAAUGGACGAAAGUCUGAUCCAGCAAUGCCGCGUGCAGGACGAAGGCCUUCGGGUUGUAAACUGCUUUUGUACGGAACGAAAAAGUCUUUUUUAAUAAAGAAGGCUUAUGACGGUACCGUAAGAAUAAGCACCGGCUAACUACGUGCCAGCAGCCGCGGUAAUACGUAGGGUGCAAGCGUUAAUCGGAAUUACUGGGCGUAAAGCGUCCGCAGGCGGUUCUAUAAGACAGAUGUGAAAUCCCUGGGCUCAACCUAGGAACUGCAUUUGUGACUGUAGAGCUAGAGUACGGCAGAGGGGGAUGGAAUUCCGCGUGUAGCAGUGAAA
This 650-nucleotide ribosomal RNA is filed under the name uncultured bacterium. RNAcentral describes it as "bacterial SSU rRNA". It matches the Rfam family "Bacterial small subunit ribosomal RNA", at positions 35 to 686 of the family's 1533-position model. The record is from RNAcentral.